Hyaloperonospora arabidopsidis Emoy2 is the source of this 72-nucleotide non-coding RNA. NCBI's taxonomy places the organism in Eukaryota, Oomycota, Peronosporomycetes, Peronosporales, Peronosporaceae. The record is from Rfam.
GGGCGCAUAGCUCAGUGGUAGCGCGUCCGCUUUGCAAGCGGAAGGCCCCGGGUUCAAUCCCCGGUGUGUCCA